RNAcentral lists this long non-coding RNA (892 nucleotides) under Mus musculus (house mouse). Its description in RNAcentral is "long non-coding RNA chr9:35913190-35914082". Lineage: Eukaryota; Metazoa; Chordata; Mammalia; Rodentia; Muridae. The record is from RNAcentral.
AUUGUUUUCCCUGUUCUGGGUUUUUUUUUUGCCUUUCCAUGUGAAUUUGAGAAUUGCUCUUUCCAUAUCUUUGAAGAAUUGUGUUGGGAUUUAGAUGAGGAUUGCAUUGAAUCUAUAGAUUGCCUUUUGUACGAUGGCCAUUUUUACUAUGUUAAUUCUGCCAAUCCAUGAGCAUCUGAGAUCUCUCCAUAUAAUGAUAUCUUCUUCAAUUUUUUUCUUGAGAGACUUGAAGUUAUUGUCAUACAAGAUUUUCACUUGUUUGAUUAGAGUUACCCCAGGAUAUUUUAUACAAUUUGUGCCUAUUAUGAAAGGAAUUGUUUCCCUAAUUUCUUUCUCUGCCUGUUUAUCUUUUGUAUAAAGAAAGGCUACUGAUUUAAUCGAGUUAAUUUUAUAUUCAGUCACUUUGCUGAAGUUGUUUUUCAGCUGGAGAAAGUCUUUGGUAGAAUUUUCGGGGUCACUUAUGUAUACUAUUAUAUCAUCUACAAAUAGUGAUACCUUCAUGUCUUCUUUAUCAAAUUCUAUCUCCUCAAUCUCUUUUUGUUGUCUUAUUGUUCUUGUUAACACUUCGAGUACUAUAUUGAAUAGAUAUAGGAAGAGUGGGCACCCUUGUCUUGUCCCCAUUUCAGUGGGAUUGUUUCAAGUAUGUCUCCAUUUAAUUUAAUAAUUGCUAUUGGUUUGUAGUAAAUUGCUUUUAUUAUGUUUAUGUAUGGGCCUUGACUUCCUGAUCUCUCCAAUAUAUUUAACACGAAGGAGUGUUGUAUUUUGUCAAAUGCUUUUUCAGCAUCUAAGGAGAUGAUCAUGUGAUCUUUUUUCUUUGAGUUUGUUUAUGUAGUGGAUUACGAUAAUGGAUUUUCAUAUAUUAAACCAACCUUGCAUCCCUGGGAUGAAGCCU